Molecule: ribosomal RNA, 551 nt
Filed under: uncultured Actinomycetes bacterium
Lineage: Bacteria; Bacillati; Actinomycetota; Actinomycetes
Description: bacterial SSU rRNA
Rfam family: Bacterial small subunit ribosomal RNA
Source: RNAcentral
GUGAUGGCCUACCAAGGCGACGACGGGUAGCCGGCCUGAGAGGGUGAUCGGCCACAUUGGGACUGAGAUACGGCCCAGACUCCUACGGGAGGCAGCAGUGGGGAAUAUUGCACAAUGGGCGGAAGCCUGAUGCAGCGACGCCGCGUGAGGGAUGACGGCCUUCGGGUUGUAAACCUCUUUCAGCAGGGACGAAGCGUAAGUGACGGUACCUGCAGAAGAAGCGCCGGCUAACUACGUGCCAGCAGCCGCGGUAAUACGUAGGGCGCGAGCGUUGUCCGGAAUUAUUGGGCGUAAAGAGCUCGUAGGCGGCUUGUCGCGUCGGUUGUGAAAGCCCGGGGCUUAACCCCGGGUCUGCAGUCGAUACGGGCAGGCUAGAGUUCGGUAGGGGAGAUCGGAAUUCCUGGUGUAGCGGUGAAAUGCGCAGAUAUCAGGAGGAACACCGGUGGCGAAGGCGGAUCUCUGGGCCGAUACUGACGCUGAGGAGCGAAAGCAUGGGUAGCGAACAGGAUUAGAUACCCUGGUAGUCCAUGCCGUAAACGGUGGGCGCUAGG